This 53-nucleotide transfer RNA is filed under the name Laeocathaica amdoana. RNAcentral describes it as "tRNA-Ser". Lineage: Eukaryota; Metazoa; Mollusca; Gastropoda; Stylommatophora; Camaenidae. The record is from RNAcentral.
UGUACAUAUAUAUUAGGCUUUGAAAGCCCAAAUAGGUAAGCUACCAUGUAUAA